Molecule: non-coding RNA, 2565 nt
Organism: Paramuricea clavata
Lineage: Eukaryota; Metazoa; Cnidaria; Anthozoa; Malacalcyonacea; Plexauridae
Source: the annotation of a GenBank genome assembly
AGAAGACAAGAUGGCGCUGGUUACCUCGCGUUAUAUCAAAGGGCAUUUUUGUUCACAAAUACCCGCUUAUUUUACGUUUUAGCGACUCGUUAGUCUUGAAAAUUAUAACUCAAUGGACAGGGGAAACGAUUCUGUAUUAAAGAGAAAAAGAUGUGCAGUUAUUGUGAUGUUAUUUGUUGUGAAAGACGGCCCGAAAGUUCGCUACUUCGCUGUACUGGUUUAUAUUAAAACAUGUACAAGCAACAGCAAUUGAACUAUGUGACAAAGAAACAAGCCAAUCAAGUUCUUCAGUUUAAAGGUCAGUUUACUUUUUAAUAAUUAGUUCAUUUAGGCCACUAUUUGUUGUAUAUUAGUUUCUCAUCCCCGCCCGCAUGCUUUUUAAGAAAAUGGUCUUGUUCGCCUUUAUUACCAUUAUUGCCAUUUUUGACCAUUAUUAUAAAUUUUGUGAUGUCUUCAAAAUGAUAUUUGAAAGAAAGACAAUUAGAAACGUUCCCAAACCAAAAGUUUCAGUUAAGAUACGAAAUUUUAUACCAAAACUGCCAGUUUCUCUCGCGUUUACGUAAACGUUCUACAGGAAGCCAGGGGCAGGGAAAAAAACGCGAGACGACUUGGCUACAAAAUUAUUUCUCUUUUCUGUGAUUAUUUCACAUGUGGUCAUGUGGAGUGGUCAUGUUUUUAAUAUAAAAACAUGGUUUCAGUUGCAUUCACUAAUUUUGUGCUGUUUUGCAAUGCUAUAAAUAAUGGCAUAAUGGUAAUGGCCCGCCCGCCCGCAUCAACUUUAGGUGAAGCCCCGGAUGAGAAACUAAUAUGCAACAAAUAGUGGCCUUAGUUGUAUAUUAAUACGAAGUACUGGAACAGUACGCCGAGUUUGAUUUGCUAUAUUGAAAUUUGUACUGUAGUCGGAAUAAGAUAAGGUAUGGAUAAACAGAGCCCAACCCCUUCUCUAACCCUAACCAAUAAAUGUGUAAUGAACUAUUUGAGAGUUAAAAAGGUUGGUGGGGAAUUUUAAAAUAUUUUAAUGCACAUAUCAACAGCUAGCCUGCAAACAGGCUCUCAAGCUGAAUUGAGAGCCUGCAUCGAUGACUAAUGAAUUUGAAUAUCUGCGUCUCAAAUCGUGACGCGAAAUUCUCAUUGGUCAGAUGCUAUAAUUUAUGUUUCCGCUGAGCUCUAUAUAUGUCAACUGCUGAAGCACUAUGCAUAAAAAACACAUUAUAACUGAUCAAAUUGGUCUUGACCAUCUUAUCUCAAAGCACGAAAUGUUCUGUUUUGAGAAAACAGUAUUUAAAACAUUUGAACUUUUGCUUCAAUAUCUUAUAUUUCGAAAAACAGUAUAAACUGUACGAUCUAAAUUUAGUUUGCACGGUCUAAAUUUAGUUUGCACCAAAGUUGUCAACAACACCAUAUAAGGAUAUACAUUACAUAUUUGGAAAAACGAAUGUUACGGGGCAGAUAUUCAAAUUCAUUAGUCAUCGAUGCAGGCUCUCAAUUCAGCUUGAGAGCCUGUUCGCAGGCUAAUCAACGGCCUGCCCGGGGGGUACACCCCCAGGACAACCGGGGGGAAACGAGGGGGAGAUUACAAACUUCGCAAUAAUAGGACGACGGGGGGAGGGGAAGUAGGGGACUUUGACGUGACAAUUUGAAUUUUAUAAAUGAACUGCACAAUUGGUGCGAACUCAAAAUUGCAGGCUCACAGAGAAAAGUACCGAUCACAAACUUAUUAUUUAUGAUAUUUUGUAGUGGUCUUGCUAAAAUUUGAAUAAAUAAAUACAGAAAACAUGAGUGCCAUUGUGAUACCCCAGUUUGUAUGAUAAUUUUUAGUUGUUUGUAUGCUAUUUAUAUUAUGAACAACUUUAUUCUAAGCCCCAGGGGGAGGGCAGGCAGUUUGACUUACACAUUUCCCGGCGGAGGGAAGGGGAAUUAAUGCAUUAGAAUCAUGUUUUUUCAAAGUCCCGGGGGUGUACCCCCAGGGCAGGCUGUUGAUAUGUGCAUAAGAAAAAUUUCUACUGUCGGAAACUGUCGUAAUUUAGAAUUAGUUCACGCGUGGGACGCGCAAGUCCAAACUUUAAACACUUCGGAAAGUUCCGGAUUAUACCGGUGGUGGUUGUUUUUUUGAGAAGAGAACUUAAAAACAUGUGGCUGUAAAACUGUGAAAUUGAUGAUUUUGUAAUAGAUAUUAUACUGUGAUUUCUUGUGAUUUAUUUCGGGCGAUACUUGGAGGCAAUCCCCAACACUACUGGCCAGAGUGCAUUCCAUGUAAACUCUACGCCGGACAUACGCCAACAUAUACGCCAACAUAUACGAUCCUUUACGCCAAUACAUCGGAGAUUUUCAGUUUUGGGGGCUUAAAUCCAUGUUUUGAAAACAUCUAAUGUGGUGAUUCAUGAAAUCAGGCACAAACUAUUCAUUUGUUUUUUAGUGAUCUCACACCAUUACGCCAACAAUUUUGUAACCUCAUGCUGGAUAUAUCUGGUGUGGAGUGCAUGGAAUGCACACUGGUCUAUGGGGCUGUUUAUAUGGAAGCCAGACUGGCCCGCUAAACGAGACAGAUUUUAUAUCGCUUGCCGG